GCCGGGGUAGCCUAGCCUGGUUUGGGCGCCAGACUCAUAAUCUGGAGGUCGCGAGUUCGAAUCCCGCCCCCGGCACCA
Molecule: transfer RNA, 78 nt
Filed under: Candidatus Bathyarchaeota archaeon
Lineage: Archaea; Thermoproteati; Candidatus Bathyarchaeota
Also listed under: 4 other names
Description: tRNA-Met
Rfam family: tRNA
About the family: Transfer RNA (tRNA) molecules are approximately 80 nucleotides in length. Their secondary structure includes four short double-helical elements and three loops (D, anti-codon, and T loops). Further hydrogen bonds mediate the characteristic L-shaped molecular structure. tRNAs have two regions of fundamental functional importance: the anti-codon, which is responsible for specific mRNA codon recognition, and the 3' end, to which the tRNAs corresponding amino acid is attached (by aminoacyl-tRNA synthetases). tRNAs cope with the degeneracy of the genetic code in two manners: having more than one tRNA (with a specific anti-codon) for a particular amino acid; and 'wobble' base-pairing, i.e. permitting non-standard base-pairing at the 3rd anti-codon position.
Source: RNAcentral